GUCCCGUCUACGGCGGCCGGAGGAGGUGUCUUUUGGAAUUCGAAUGAAAUUUAUUUAAAAAAAAAAAAAAAAAAAAAAAAAAAAAAAGAGGGAAAUAGCGGAGACUCGGCAUUCGGGAAGAAAUUCCAGACGAACAAAACAAACGCGAAAGCGUAUAUUAUUAAUCUUUUUACGUAUACAAAAAACAACGCCGAAAAAAAAAUAAAAUACAUUUACGUAAAACAAUAGUUUUAAAACACGUCCGUUUCGGCGUUUCGUACGACAGUUUCCGUAAAACGCAUGCGGAAAUAUUCGCCGACGAUAUUAAAACGGGAAAUCGAAUGC
Molecule: non-coding RNA, 324 nt
Organism: Cinara cedri
Lineage: Eukaryota; Metazoa; Arthropoda; Insecta; Hemiptera; Aphididae
Source: the annotation of a GenBank genome assembly